RNAcentral lists this ribosomal RNA (497 nucleotides) under uncultured bacterium. RNAcentral describes it as "partial 16S ribosomal RNA". It matches the Rfam family "Bacterial small subunit ribosomal RNA", at positions 28 to 507 of the family's 1533-position model. The record is from RNAcentral.
GAUGAACGCUGGCGGCGUGCCUAAUACAUGCAAGUCGAGCGAACAGAUGAGGAGCUUGCUCCUCUGACGUUAGCGGCGGACGGGUGAGUAACACGUGGAUAACCUACCUAUAAGACUGGGAUAACUUCGGGAAACCGGAGCUAAUACCGGAUAAUAUAUUGAACCGCAUGGUUCAAUAGUGAAAGACGGUUUUGCUGUCACUUAUAGAUGGAUCCGCGCCGCAUUAGCUAGUUGGUAAGGUAACGGCUUACCAAGGCAACGAUGCGUAGCCGACCUGAGAGGGUGAUCGGCCACACUGGAACUGAGACACGGUCCAGACUCCUACGGGAGGCAGCAGUAGGGAAUCUUCCGCAAUGGCCGAAAGCUUGACGGAGCAACGCCGCGUGAGUGAUGAAGGUCUUCGGAUCGUAAAACUCUGUUAUUAGGGAAGAACAAAUGUGUAAGUAACUAUGCACGUCUUGACGGUACCUAAUCAGAAAGCCACGGCUAACUACGUG